CGUUCCUCUGCUUACGACGUUUUCAUGAAUAAGCCAGAAAAUGGUCAGCACAGAAGCCUCCCUACAACCUGGAAAAAUAAAUGACCUUUAACUUUGAAUAUCACACAGACAUAAUGAGGGAUGGUGUCAGACAAGUGCUGAAGGCACUGUUUGUUUCCUGCCCCCAUGCUGAGCUCAGACCACAACCGAAUCCAGAGCCUGCCAUUUAUCACUUGACCACGUACAUCUGAACCUGCAAGACCCUUGCACAGCCUUCACUGAGGUGUGAAAACUGACAGUUUCCUUCUCCUGCCACUGGUUCUGCAGCAAUUAAAGCUUUUUUGCUAUU
RNAcentral lists this small RNA (328 nucleotides) under Pongo abelii (Sumatran orangutan). RNAcentral describes it as "sense intronic". The record is from RNAcentral. Lineage: Eukaryota; Metazoa; Chordata; Mammalia; Primates; Hominidae.